RNAcentral lists this ribosomal RNA (497 nucleotides) under uncultured bacterium. RNAcentral's name for it is "partial 16S ribosomal RNA". It matches the Rfam family "Bacterial small subunit ribosomal RNA", at positions 36 to 507 of the family's 1533-position model. The record is from RNAcentral.
UCUUCCCUCUUUCUUCGUGCCUAAUACAUGCAAGUCGAGCGAACAGACGAGGAGCUUGCUCCUCUUACGUUAGCGGCGGACGGGUGAGUAACACGUGGAUAACCUACCUAUAAGACUGGGAUAACUUCGGGAAACCGGAGCUAAUACCGGAUAAUAUAUUGAACCGCAUGGUUCAAUAGUGAAAGACGGUUUUGCUGUCACUUAUAGAUGGAUCCGCGCCGCAUUAGCUAGUUGGUAAGGUAACGGCUUACCAAGGCAACGAUGCGUAGCCGACCUGAGAGGGUGAUCGGCCACACUGGAACUGAGACACGGUCCAGACUCCUACGGGAGGCAGCAGUAGGGAAUCUUCCGCAAUGGGCGAAAGCCUGACGGAGCAACGCCGCGUGAGUGAUGAAGGUCUUCGGAUCGUAAAACUCUGUUAUUAGGGAAGAACAAAUGUGUAAGUAACUAUGCACGUCUUGACGGUACCUAAUCAGAAAGCCACGGCUAACUACGUG